This is a long non-coding RNA of Balaenoptera acutorostrata (minke whale), 1807 nucleotides long. RefSeq lists it as uncharacterized. The transcript has 3 exons. The record is from RefSeq and is a predicted model, not a curated record. NCBI's taxonomy places the organism in Eukaryota, Metazoa, Chordata, Mammalia, Artiodactyla, Balaenopteridae.
UGAAGUGAAGAAACACAGCGGGCAUGCGAUUUUACCCGGCUCAGCACGCGUCAGGAUCGCUAAACGUUUCUGUCCGUCGCCCCGUUUCUCUGCCUGUGUGAUAACACGGGGCUGGAGUGGUCACCACUUCAUCCUACGAGUGGCUCAGCCUCACUUCAGUGUUUGCCUGGGAUGUAAUGUGCACGUUUAUGAUGCUCCAAGUUAACUCGAUGCAGUGCUGGCGGCAGUACAGUGGGAAGGGAAAAGAGAUAUUUGUAAACGGAGGCCCUUAAACCUCAAUACUUGAAGAUUGUGGAGCAAGUGUUAAUCCUUGAGGGGAACUUGGUCAAAAGAAGUCUGGCGGGUUAAGUUUUCGGCAUCUGCUGUCAGAUGCUGAUGUCCUGGGGUUCAGGGCUUCUGAUCUACCCCAACUCUUGUUCAGCGCCAUGUGGGAUCUUAGUUCCCCAACCAGGGAUGGAACCUGCGCCCCUGCAGUGAAAGCGUGGAGUCUUAACCACUGGACCACCAAGCAAGUCCCUCAUAAUCCUGUUUCUCUGCAACUGAAACAUCCAGUUAACUGUAUCUGUGUCUCUCAUUCUCCUGGACGCUCCUUCACAGUAUCCAGCACAUCGGUAUCUUGCCAACACUCAGGCUUUUAGUGAAUAAUCACUGAAUGCAUAAAACAUAAACAAGCAGGGAAAAGAAGAGGUUCCUUGACAUACAGUGAAAGAGUAGUUAAGAUAUCCCACCGAACAAGCAAAUGAAAUAGCUAAUAGUUAUUCGAGCUAAACUUAAGCUUUCUGAGACCGGGAGAGGCAACAGUGAAAUUUUUAGGCAUGUGUGUUAAGAAGCAGUGACUUCACAGAAACUUCCACGGUAAGCUCGCAGAGAUGGGAUGGGCUCUGUGCUAGGGAAUGAUGGAUGCUUACAAUCACAGGAAAGCUUUAUGUGCGCGCAGGAUUCUUCUAAGUCAGACAGGAAAGCAUGGGCGCUCGGCCUGCAGAAGAGCAAUGGUCACCUCUGCUUAUUUUUUCAGUAAGUCGGUGUUGUUGUUUGUUGUUGUUUCUUGGCAGAAGGAAAGAAACAAAAGUGUACACUUUCCCAGGCAGCCAAGAUCUGAUCCUCUGACCCUCUUGUGAGCUGUCAUGAGCCACUAAGAAAGCUCGCCGGAUUUGUAACCGGAAUUUCACUGAAGCUAAGAAGAGCAUGGCGUGCAUACUGGCAGCUCCUUUGCUCAGCUGCCCAGUGGAGGCACUGGCUGAGCCGUUUGCAUCCCGUGGCCUUGCAGCCCGCCUGUUUAGCACGGCCACACGGCUAGAAGAAAGGCUGGAGAAGCUGCUGGGAUGUUACUUUUAUAAGAAUGGCUUAUAAACCUCAGCCAGUUUUUCCCUGGACAGUGCCACUCGACACUGUUGCCCCAGCAAAAUUACAAGCUGCAAAUCUGAUCUGGCCAGAGGGAAAGCUUGCUGUCAACAGGAAACGUGGGUAGAAAUAAUAAUAAUAGAAACAAUAGCUGACACAUGCAAAUCUAAUGUAAAUAAAAAUACACGGGUGUGUGUGUGUGUGUGUGUGUGUGUGUGUGUGUGUGUGGCGUUUAUCUACCUACUGGACAGAAUUCCUCAUUGUUGUGAAGUCCACGUGCUGUUUUAGAAAAACUGAUAAUAAUAAUAAAUACUUGUAUAGAGUGCCUGUCAGUGCAGCCACUGUCCCAAGCGUUUCACACAUACUGACUUACUUUAACUCAUUUAACUCCCACAUUUGUUCUGACAAGGAGGUGCUAUUAUUAUUGUUAACAUAUAAUAAUAGCUAACAUAAUUUAUUACAGAUC